RNAcentral lists this ribosomal RNA (200 nucleotides) under uncultured bacterium. RNAcentral describes it as "partial 16S ribosomal RNA". It matches the Rfam family "Bacterial small subunit ribosomal RNA", at positions 524 to 723 of the family's 1533-position model. The record is from RNAcentral.
UACGGAGGGUCCGAGCGUUGUCCGGAAUUAUUGGGUUUAAAGGGUGCGUAGGUGGUUAGAUAAGUCAGGGGUGAAAUCCUCCCGCUCAACGGGAGAACUGCCCUUGAUACUGUUUAACUUGAGUAUACUAAAGGUAGGCGGAAUUGAUGGUGUAGCGGUGAAAUGCAUAGAUAUCAUCAGGAACUCCGAUAGCGAAGGCA